This 274-nucleotide ribosomal RNA is filed under the name uncultured bacterium. RNAcentral's name for it is "partial 16S ribosomal RNA". It matches the Rfam family "Bacterial small subunit ribosomal RNA", at positions 523 to 796 of the family's 1533-position model. The record is from RNAcentral.
AUACGGAGGGGGUUAGCGUUGUUCGGAAUUACUGGGCGUAAAGCGCACGUAGGCGGACUGGAAAGUUGGGGGUGAAAUUCCGGGGCUCAACCCCGGAACUGCCUCCAAAACUUCCAAUCUAGAGAUCGAGAGAGGUGAGUGGAAUUCCAAGUGUAGAGGUGAAAUUCGUAGAUAUUUGGAGGAACACCAGUGGCGAAGGCGGCUCACUGGCUCGAUACUGACGCUGAGGUGCGAAAGCGUGGGGAGCAAACAGGAUUAGAAACCCUAGUAGUCC